This 986-nucleotide long non-coding RNA is filed under the name Ananas comosus (pineapple). Its description in RNAcentral is "long non-coding RNA (ACOM_LNC017077)". Lineage: Eukaryota; Viridiplantae; Streptophyta; Magnoliopsida; Poales; Bromeliaceae. The record is from RNAcentral.
CGGGUUAGGAAUGCCAGUAGGUACGAAUAUCCAAAAUUUUAUUCGAAUCCAAAUCUAAACGGGGUAGAUAUAUUCGAUACUAAAUGGAUAUAGUAUCGGAUACAAGUCUAAAAAAUCAAAAUCUAAUGGAUUUGAAUUCAAGUAUAGAUUUUGAUUUUUUCUAUAUCCGACCAGAAACCGAACUAGAUCUGAACCUAAAUUAAUUAACAUUAUAUAAAUAUAUGUGAAUGUUUGAUGUUAUAUUUGUAUUUGUAUUUUAAAAAUUUAGAUUUAAUGUAAUACUAGUGGAGUUACCCGCGCAUUGCGGCGGGCUGAUACUGUAAGAGACAGAAGAUUGACAAACUAAAAUAUUUUAAAAUUUUUUCACUUGUCAUGAGAAAUCAACAAAUACGAAUAAAAGAUAUAGAACGGAUUUAGCAAAAUUUAUAAUUUUAGCAAAUAAAUUACACGCAAUAAUAAUAAAAAAAACAGCAAUAGAACACUACUCCAUAUACACCUUAAUUGUGUUGCUGAUAUCGGAAAGGCGAAUCUUGAUCUCCACUUCUCAUUCGCCGCCAUUGUCAGCGUCGAGUUCCUCUUUAAUCACGGUAAUACAUAUCUUAUUUUAUUUAUUUUUUAUAAUAUUUAUUUGUUUAAAUGACAAUGAAUGUGAACAUAUUAAUUGAGAAAUGGACACGUGGGAAGACGAAAUAUCAUGCGGAUAUAAAAGAUAAUAAAUUCGAUCAUUAGGAAUUAGCAAGAAGGCAAGAAUGGGAGAUGAAGGUAAGGAUGAAGGAGACUUUGCCAUAUGGCAAAGUUUAUGAGGAAUAAUGAAUAAAUAAAUAAAAAUAGAAGAUAUAGAUAUAGAUGUGUUGAAAUACAGUAAAGAUAAAUAAUUAUUUCGGGUUCGGAUUUUUAGAUUCAAAUUCGGGUUUCAAUUUUUUUGCUGAAUUCAAAUUUGAAUAUGGAUUUUCAAAAUCCGUGGAAUAUGAUGAGUGAAUUGGACA